AUGGGGAGAAGAUGAAGAGACUAAUCCUAUGCACAAAAUUAAAAGUUAAGAGUUGAAAAGAUCUGACCGAUGGGUAUCCAUCCAAUAGGCAAGAAUGGCAUAUAGAAACCCUAAAUUCCCUUGGACAUAUAGAACAAAGCAACACACAAAUGCACAAUUAUAUCAAUCUUGAAGAGUAAAGACAUCAAAUAAAGAUAACCACAUCCAAG
Molecule: long non-coding RNA, 209 nt
Filed under: Lathyrus oleraceus (garden pea)
Lineage: Eukaryota; Viridiplantae; Streptophyta; Magnoliopsida; Fabales; Fabaceae
Description: Pisum sativum (pea) long non-coding RNA (PSAT_LNC010782)
Source: RNAcentral